Molecule: long non-coding RNA, 213 nt
Filed under: Elaeis guineensis (African oil palm)
Lineage: Eukaryota; Viridiplantae; Streptophyta; Magnoliopsida; Arecales; Arecaceae
Description: long non-coding RNA (EGUI_LNC077760)
Source: RNAcentral
GUGCGGACUGAGCUGUAAGCAUCUAAAAGAUAGUAGAGACAUGAGGGAUCAUAGUCUGGUCUGGAUCAGCCUGAGAUAUCAUCCUCUGAGUAAAACUUGAGGUGGCAAAUUGUUGGGAUAAGAUAGAAACAAUCUGUUGAAAAAUCAACUAAAUCUGAUCAUCUGUAAGUCUGAUCACUGAAGGAUCUAUUCUGCUCCCUGACUGUGGUACAA